AAAAAUAAAAAGAUGGAAAGAGAGACAAGUGGGGGGAGUCAGUGAAAAAGAGGGCUGUUGGGGGCGAGAGAAGAAGAGGCUGCCUUGCGCAGCCUGAGCGCAGGAAACGGAGAGAAGACGUGCGGGAAAGAGAGAGACCACAGUGCACUGUGAUCAAGAAAACAGAAAAAAAAAAUAUAAAGGAGAAGGCUCCUUUGAGCAGCGGAAGAGAGGGGUGCGAAGGAGAGGCACAGAGAAAAGCAAGAAAAGAAAGAGUCAGGCGGAGAGACUGGCGCGGGGAGCAGCAAGGGCAGCGUGGGCACGAACGCAGCAGAUCAUCUAUUCUCGGUUAAAUCUUUCUAAAUUUAUAUUUUAUUUCUGUUUUAAUAAUGUGUAACUAAAUUUAUUUUGGCUAGAGGUUAAUUCAAAGCCAUGAAUAUAUUUGUAAUAUGAAUUGAUUACCUUCAGUUGUGAUUUCUAAGUUGUGAUUUAAUUUGCUUAACUGCUUGAUUGAUAACUUAUUUUUGUAUGUCGAUUAAGGAUGCAUACUUAAUUUACAUGCAUGAAUUUGAUGCUAGAAUAUAAAUGAAUUUCACCUAAUCGUUAUGAACUUAUAUUCACAAGUAGUGAAGGUUGUUAUCUACAAUCGUGUUAAGUAAAUUCUUGGCAAGAGUAUCAUGCUUUUCAUAGUUACGAAUGCCUCGUCAAUGCUUAUAGUUUUCACAAAGUUUAAUGAUCUUUGAUUGUAUCUCUAUUGUGCUUUUCACGUAGGGGACUUUUGAAGAAUGUUUUGAAUUGUUGUAUGCGUUUUCCCGUCCAAUUCAAUAACUUAAGGAAAACUUGAAGAUUAAAAAAGUGCUGUUCACGGUUAAUCUGAAGUGUUGAGAUUCACAACUUAUUGAAAGAACAACUGAAAAUCAAUUUAGGUUGCAUAUGUGUCAUGUGUGGAGAAGAACCCUCUAGCUAAUCCAUCACCUAUCCUUUCACCUUAAUUUCAUGUUUUUGUCAAUUCUGUAAUUUAUUUAAGUUUAAUUUACUUCUCAUCAAAACCAAACCCCCCAUUAUUAAAUUAUAUUAUUUAGUUAGUUUUCAUUGUUGUUAGUCUUUUAAUUCAAUUUCCGUCCAUUUCAAUUCCUAGUGUCUAUUUUGAUUGUUUUUAUUAUUUUGAGUCAUUUUAAGUGUGUUUCGAAUUAUUAGAGUUUUUAGCCUAGUUUUGUGUCCUUGAGUCUUGUUUAAUAUUUUUUACUUUGUUUUUUAUGUUUUUAAGAGGUUUUAGCAAGCCCUCCUAAUCCCCGGCCUAGAACGAUACCCUACUUAUACUUAUACUACAAUUGACAAAAAGAGGGUUUAAUUUUGUGUGUGAACUUAUUUUACGCAUCAAAUUUUGGCGCCGUUGCCGGGGAUUAGCAAAGUUGCUAAUCCCUUGUCUUAAGUCUUGUUUAAAUUGUUUAGUUUUUUUUUAUUUUUUUAUUUUUUUAUUUUUAUUUUUUAUUUUAUUAUUAUUUUAUUUUAUUUUAUUUUUUUAUAAUUACCCUGUUUUGUUUACUUAUGAUAUUUGAUUUAGUUUUAUUUCUUUGAUAUCAGGUACUAAAAGAAGUAAGACAUGGCAAUUGCUAAUCUUCAAGCUCAAAUGGCAAUUCUUACUUCUCAAUUGUCACAGUACAUCGAAAGGACCACAAUACAAAGCACCCCUACAUUCGAUGUGUCCUAUACGCAAGGAUAUCAAGCAGAUCAACAUCCACAAAGGAGUUGGGAGAGUUAUCAUGAUCAUAAUCAAUCAAUGAACAACUUGUUUUCCAACACGUAUAGUUCAGAUUGGAGGGAUCAUUCAAACACUAUGUGGUGGGAACCUCAACCAGUUCAACACGAAGGAUAUUGGCAGCCAUAUGAGGAGUUCUAUACAACGCCUAUGCAGCCACCACAACCUGCCCCGCAACAAUUCCAAUCAAAUUCAGGUUCGUCAAUAGAUUGUGCUCAAAUUCUUGAUGUACUAACUUCUUUGACGCAUGACCAACAAAAUCAAGAGAAGGAGUUGGAAGAAUUGAAGAGUCAAAUGGGAGAGAUUAUGGAAUUCAUGGUACAAAUUCAAGAGCAAGGUGACUUGAAGGAUGAAGCUGUCCCAGAACCAUCCAAACACAGCCCGAACAUGGAUGAAUUGCUGCUGCAAGCAGAAGAGGAGGAGGACGACCUGGGCAGUUUAGAAGAAUUCUUGCUGCAAGCUCCUCAAAUCCCUAUGUCAUCCAACUCAGGUGAGGAAGUUCUAAAUUCACUUCAUUCUAACAUUAUUCCACCGAAUGUCCUUUGUCCUUGCAGGUUUUUGAUUCCAAAUAUCAAAGAGAGUGAAAAAGACAUUGUGGAAGCUCUUCCAAAAGUGCAAAGUGAUAUCUCAAUUCUUGGUGCACCAAAACAAGUUCCCGAUGGUUUUGAAACGUUCAAAGAACCUUGCACACCAAGAAAAGGGAUUCAAGAGAAUGAAGUGGUUGAAGCAUAUCAAGAAUACAUCCAAGAGGCUGUGCAUGAGACAAUCAAGCCCAAAGCAGUUGAGUUUGAUGACACGGGACAAGCCACAACCAUCAUAGUAAACCUGGCCAAGUCCAAUAUCCCUGAAACUUUCAAAAAUGUGGUGUUUGUCAUUGAGUUCUUGUCGGACAAAGCAAGUAAGCCAUCUUCUCCAAUUUCGAUUUUAGUAUAUACUAACUUGUUGAUUUUGAUGAUUCAGGCACCUACACUAGAAUUUAAACCAUUGCCGGAUCACGUCAAGUAUCACCGUCCAUUCAAGGAUCAAUUCCAUGCUAUGGGCCCUAUCCAAGUUUAGAAGGAAGUAUCGUCCGGCUGCAAGACGUUAAAGAAAGCGCUUUUUGGGAGGCAACCCAUGUAUUCAAAAAAAAAAAGGAAGAUCUAUGAAUCGCUCUACAAUCAGUUUUGCGUUUCUAAAAACCUUCACUUUUCUGCAUUUUUAUUUUGCCAUGAUUGUCAUUUUUUUUUUUUUUUUUUUAUUUAUUUUUGUUUAUUUAAUUAUUUUUGGGUGUGGGUUUAUUUUUGAAACAUUGAUAGAUAUGCAAGAUAUUCUUACAUUCUUUUUCAUGAAAAAAAAAAAAAAAAAAAAAAAAAAAAAAAAAAACUUAAACUUAAAAAUAUUUUACAAUGAUGUGUGAACUAAUAGCAUUCAUUGGUCAGGUGGUGCUUCAGUAGUCGGCGGAGCUUCAGCAGUCGGCGGGGCCACGGAAGGAGGAGGUAUCUGAGGUUGAUCAGUUGGAGCUUCACUACGCGGUGUCGCCCCAGAAGACGAAGGCAGAUGCGGUUGGAACAAACCCACAAACCUUCGGUGAUCAAGUAAAAUCUGACCAUCAGUGUCCUGCAUCUGGUCAAUCUUCCUCUUCAUGCUGGUGGCAUAGCUGUGUGCGAGCUUGUGCAAUUCCUUAUUCUCAUGCUUGAGCCCUUUAAUCUCUUGCUUGAGACUCUGUAUUUCAGCCACCAAGGAUUCAACGUGACGGGUUCGGGCAUAUAGGCGUUGGGCCAUGUUGGAUACGGAACCCGCACACUGCACACUGAGAGCCAGAGACUCCUUGACCGCCAAUUCAUCAGACCGCCUUGCGAGCAGUCUGUUAUCUCUGGGAGUGACAAGGUUUCGGGCCACCACCGCAGCGGUCAUGUCAUUUUUCAUCAUCGAAUCCCCCACGGUAAGGGGACCGGUAGGGGAUAUGAAGGAUGGCCGCCAUAUGUUGUCUGGUGAAGGCGGAGCUGCCUCUUCACCAAUGUUCAAGUCAAAACGACGAUCAGAAGGGCCAGACAUUUUUCAGAGGUGGUAAAGAAAGAAGAGAGUCGGAAUGAUCAAGAUUAAACAAGUGCAAGAAGGGAGUGUUUACAGGAGGGUACUCAAGUGUGUUGUGGAACAAGCUUAACGUCUCUAUAAAAAGGAAGAAAUCAAAGAGGCGCUCCUCAGAGAAGCGUCCUCUCGCAAAUCGAAGAGUCGGGGCUCCGUUCUCAAACGUCUGAUUCUUUUCUCAAAAGAGGAGUUUCCUUUCUCAAAAGCCGGAUUCUUUUCUCAAAAGAGGCGUUUCAUUUCAUUUCUUAAAGGCUGGGCUUGCUCAGAAACCACGAGCCGAACCCCGGAUUUCAAAAGAUCAAUUUGUCCAGACGUGUCGUCACUUGUCACACGCAAAUUGCUUUGCGGAAAUCUCGGGCAAUUUGUCGAAGCACCAAUUCAGAAAUCGAAGAGGGAAAUUCAACAGUCAAAGACACGCUAGCUUUCUCAAAAGCUGGGCUUCAACCCACGGGAAAAUCUUCUUUUCCAGAUUUAUCCGCACGUGUCACAUGCUACCUCUACAAUCGACGAUGCUCAGAGCUCGAAGCGCCGAUUACAGAUAUCAAUGAGGAAUCAGCUUUGCGGAAAUUACGGGCAGCUUUGUCAGAAAGCGCGUAAUUUGUAUUCUUCACCCAUCCACCGGCUGCCGACACUAAGUGAGAGAACAGUUCCGGUUGUGAAGACAAGUCCUAUAAGUUUCUACCUUCGCCUUCCACAGCAAAAGCACACUCUCUCAGCACACCCUCUCAACACCUCUUCAUCUCCGAAAAAUGCAUUCCCAAAGAAUCCUCUCGAGUCACUCUGUGUUCCUCAUUCCUUGGGAUACUCCUGCGAACAACCCAUUCAAAGCAAAAGUAUUUCAUAUCAUAAAGGUUGAAAGCAAGAGUAUCUCAUAUCAUGCAUUCUCCAUGUCCUUUUCCUUGUCUUUGUUCUAACCUGCAGGACAUGGAGAAAUUGCUCUCGAGUACUCGUCUUCCACUGCUGAUGUACUUCCAAAGAAGCUGCCACAUCUACCUGAAGAACAGAUAAGGCAAGCGAAAAUGAUACCAGCAGCAUGUGGAGACAACGUACAGAAGAAACAAGCAGAGAAGAAUGCAGCUCGUACAAUCAACCCAGCACAAGGAGUCCGAACUGAAGAACUAGAGAAGCUGCCACAUCUGCUUGGAGAACGAAUAAGGAACUGCAACAUUCCCAAAGAGCAAAGCUUCGCCGUACAAUAUCAUCAAAUCAUCACUUGCAAGUAAAAAGCUAAGUGUCACCCUGUUCAAGAGGAAAGCUGUGGAAAGUCAACAAGCACGACCAAUGAUUACUUAUUAGUUUUAUUCAUUAUCUUUUAUCGUAAUUUUCAAUUUUUCGUUUGCAAUUUUUUUUAAUUAAUUUCUUGCGUACUUAACUGAAUUAUUUCUUUUCUUUGCAGGAACUUUUGGUUAUUUCCACCCUUGAAGUUGAUUGCAGAAUUUUAGCUUGGGGGUCAUCGCUUGAUUUUACUGCAAAUUAGGGAAGUUUUCAGUCCAAUUGCUUUAUUUUUUUUUUUUUAUUAUUUUGUUUAUUUUAUUUAUUUUUGCAUUAUAGUGUUUUCUGACAUUGGGGACAAUGUCAAGUUUAAGUGUGGGGGUAGAAAUCUCCAGAAUUUCAUUUGUCUCUGUGUUGUUGUUUUUUUUUGUGUUCUUAAUUAGUUUUUUUGUUUUCUUUAAAAAAAAAAAAAAAAAAAAAAAAAAAAAAGAAAUAAAAAUUUAAAAAUCCAAAAAUAUUGUCUUGUUUCCCUUUUUGUUCUGAAUCAGAUUUUUUUUGUUAGUUUCCCGACCCAAUGAUAUAAUUAGAUCAAAUUUGAAUCAUGAUCAUCAAGAACUUAGUUAACAUGUGUUUUGUGAAAUUCCUAAUUCUCUUGUUAGUUUUGUACAUGUUUGAUCAUCUUUGAAAAACCAAAUGCACAUAGCCUUGUUGAUGUGAAACUAAAGUAUGACUUAAAGCUUCAUUUGUGAAUUUAGUGACCAUAUACAUCCUAUGUGAGUUUUUGAGCCGAUUGAAAGUGUGUGCAUUUUUCAUACACUCCUAUUCUUUCAUGUGUGAUGAACUUAUGUGAGAUACAUCUCUAGAACUUGCGUAACGAUCUUUCGAAAUGUUUGUCAUUGAUUGCAUGAACUUGGAAAUGAUAGAGGCAUUAGGUUUACCACUAUGGCCCAAAUAACCAUGUUUCCCAAAUAAAAAUGAUAUCAUUAGAUUGCCAAUUUGAGCCGUGUAUGUUGAGCCUUUUAUUUCUUAUCACCAGAUAUGUCUACCCUUAUACCUGAAACAUUUUUUCCUUACCCUUUCCAAGCAAGCUAGUGAGCAAUACGAGAUUGUCUUAUGAGAAACGUUUGUGAAUUACUUUGAAGGUGUUUGGCAAAAGAAUAAGUGUGGGGGUGUUUCAUGUUUGUAUUUAAAAAAAAAAAAAAAAAAAAAAAAAAAAAAAAAGAAAAAAAGAAAAGAAAAAGAAAGAUUGUAUACAAAGAAAAUAAAAAGUUUUUAAAGUUUCAGUUUAAGGGUGUGAUUGGAGGUAUCAGAACAAUCGUUGGAGAGCUUGAGUUCUUAUAAAUCUAAACAAAAGAAUUGCUUGCAAUGUAGCUUGGAACUUGUGUUUUCCUAUUCUUUCGUUUCAAUAACCUUAUCCCUAAGCCUCAUUACAUCCAAUAAAAGUCCUCUUGAUUUAAGUUUUGCAAUUAUGACUGUGGAGAAGUGAUCUUUAUGCAAGCUUAUGGUAGAAAUUUCACAUUUGAUUCUUUGAGCGAAACACAUUAAAACUAAACACAUGUGUGAUUGAGUGUAUAUCCCGUGAGAAGGUUGCUAGUUUGCAUAUGAUGAUUUUAAAAAUAAAAACUUGAAAUUGCAUUAGCAUGACUAUCUUACACACUACACUUCAAGGAUGAUUCAAAGAUUACUGCUAAUAUUUGAAUAAGGAAGAUGAACUUGGAUUAGUUCCUUGAUGCUAGCUAUGGUUCUUGAUGAUUUGUUUUCUUGAAUGAAAUUCUAUGAGGGUCACAUAGGGGGAAACUAAUGUUUUUCAUGUUAGUACUUUUUCUAGUUUUCUUGGUUUUGCUCGAGGACUAGCAAAAGUUAAGUGUGGGGGUAUUUGAUCGGAUCAUAUUUAUAUAUAUUUUUACUUCGAAUUCACUCGUCUUUUCUUAGUUAGUUCCUUAUAUUUUUGAGCUAUUUACGUUAUUUUUGUGUUUUUAGGAUUUGUUAUGCAAAGAAAAUAAAAAUAGAACAAGUGAAAUUUUAUGUAAUAAAUUCGUCAAACUGUCUGUGUAGAUCAUCUUUUAAAUAAAAUUAAAUAAAGAAAUAAUAAUGAUAAAUCAUGAUGAUGUUUGAAACAUCAUCAUGAUUCAUGUUUUGUUGCAGAAAAAAUAAGAGGAAGUCCACAGCGUCGGUGGGGAAGAGGGAACGCAGAAAGGAAGUAUUUCGUAUAAAGUGAUGAGCAAUUUUUAAUGAGAUGGGUGCUCUUCCUAGACGUGGCAGCGUGAAAGAAUCCAAGGAGGUCAGGGGGGUCCAAAAGGUGAGGCCUUGCAGCUGGUGAGGGAAAAGGAGAAGCGGAAAGAAUAAACGAAAAAAAAAAGAAAUGUGGAGAUAAUAACAAAAGGGAGGAGGGCAGGACAGAGAAGGAAAAAAUAAAAAGAUGGAAAGAGAGACAAGUGGGGGGAGUCAGUGAAAAAGAGGGCUGUUGGGGGCGAGAGAAGAAGAGGCUGCCUUGCGCAGCCUGAGCGCAGGAAACGGAGAGAAGACGUGCGGGAAAGAGAGAGACCACAGUGCACUGUGAUCAAGAAAACAGAAAAAAAAAAAUAUAAAGGAGAAGGCUCCUUUGAGCAGCGGAAGAGAGGGGUGCGAAGGAGAGGCACAGAGAAAAGCAAGAAAAGAAAGAGUCAGGCGGAGAGACUGGCGCGGGGAGCAGCAAGGGCAGCGUGGGCACGAACGCAGCAGAUCAUCUAUUCUCGGUUAAAUCUUUCUAAAUUUAUAUUUAUUUUCUGUUUUAAUAAUGUGUAACUAAAUUUAUUUUGGCUAGAGGUUAAUUCAAAGCCAUGAAUAUAUUUGUAAUAUGAAUUGAUUACCUUCAGUUGUGAUUUCUAAGUUGUGAUUUAAUUUGCUUAACUGCUUGAUUGAUAACUUAUUUUUGUAUGUCGAUUAAGGAUGCAUACUUAAUUUACAUGCAUGAAUUUGAUGCUAGAAUAUAAAUG
Molecule: long non-coding RNA, 7992 nt
Filed under: Malus domestica (apple)
Lineage: Eukaryota; Viridiplantae; Streptophyta; Magnoliopsida; Rosales; Rosaceae
Description: long non-coding RNA (MDOM_LNC007595)
Source: RNAcentral